UAGUCAGCCACACUGGGACUGAGACACUGCCCAGACUCCUACGGGAGGCUGCAGUCGAGGAUCAUUUGCAAUGCGCGAAAGCGUGACAAUGCGACGCUGCGUGGAGGACGAAGGCCCUAGGGUUGUAAACUCCUGUCAUGUGGGAAAAACUGCCCCUUCACUAAUACGGAUGGGGUUUGAUGGUACCACAAGAGGAAGCGACGGCUAACUUCGUGCCAGCAGCCGCGGUAAUACGAAGGUCGCUAGCGUUGUUCGGAUUUACUGGGCGUAAAGGGUGCGUAGGUGGUUUCGUGUGUCGGCUGUGAAAGCCCGGGGCUCAACCCCGGAACUGCAUCCGAAACUGCGGAACUAGAGUCCAGGAGGGGAGAGCGGAAUUCAGGGUGUAGCGGUGAAAUGCGUUGAUAUCCUGAAGAACACCGGUGGCGAAGGCGGCUCUCUGGAAUGGUACAGACACUGAGGCACGAAAGCGUGGGGAGCAAACAGGAUUAGAUACCCUGGUAGUCCACGCCGUAAACGGUGCGCACUUGGUGUGGGAGGUAUUGACCCCUCCCGUGCCGGAGCUAACGCGUUAAGUGCGCCGCCUGGGGAGUACGACCGCAAGGUUAAAACUCAAAGAAAUUGACGGGGGCCCGCACAAGCGGAGGAGCAUGUGGCUUAAUUCGAUGCAACGCGAAGAACCUUACCAAGGCUUGACAUCUAGCUGCACGCCUCCCGAAAGGGAGGAAGCUUUCGAAGGUGCUAGACAGGUGCUGCAUGGCUGUCGUCAGUUCGUGCCGUGAGGUGUUUGGUUAAGUCCAGCAACGAACGCAACCCCUGUGUCUAGUUGCCACCGACGGUGAUGAGCCGUCGAGCACUCUAGACAGACUGCCCGUACAAGCGGGAGGAAGGUGGGGACGACGUCAGGUCAGUAUGGCCCUUACGCCUUGGGCUGCACACGUGCUACAAUGGCAGGUACAGAGGGAUGCUAUACCGCGAGGUGGCGCAAAUCCACAAAACCUGCCCCAGUUCGGAUUGGAGUCUGCAGCUCGACUCCAUGAAGUUGGAUUCGCUAGUAAUGCCGUAUCAGCUACGACGGCGUGAAUACGUUCCCGGGCCUUGUACACACCGCCCGUCACAUCAUGAAAGCCGUCUGCACCCGAAGUCGUUGAUCUAACCCGCAAGGGAGGAAGGCGCCGAAGGUGUGGGUGGUGAUUGGGAUGAAGUCGGAACAAGGUA
RNAcentral lists this ribosomal RNA (1215 nucleotides) under metagenome. RNAcentral's name for it is "bacterial SSU rRNA". It matches the Rfam family "Bacterial small subunit ribosomal RNA", at positions 301 to 1498 of the family's 1533-position model. The record is from RNAcentral.